UGAGACAUGCGUCCUCUUCACGCCUGAUUCAGCUUCACUCAGGUCUUCAGCCCCAAGGGAAUGAAGGUCGGCAAUGGUGAAGAAAAGGCACGGUGGCAGGCCUCGCAAAGCGCUCACAUCUCCUUCCACAAGUAGGAGGCGGAGAGAACGAACUCAAAAUGGGCCACUAACGGAAGAUGAAGUGGUCGAAGACGUGAGCUUACCUGUGGGAGCGUUCACAAUCUCGUUCAAGCCAGC
Psammomys obesus (fat sand rat) is the source of this 237-nucleotide long non-coding RNA. RefSeq lists it as uncharacterized. NCBI's taxonomy places the organism in Eukaryota, Metazoa, Chordata, Mammalia, Rodentia, Muridae. The record is from RefSeq and is a predicted model, not a curated record. The transcript has 3 exons.